AAAAGACAAAGGCCUCUGCCACGCCUCACUCACAGCUUUAAACACUGUGAGGUGAUGCUAAGUGGGGAUAAUCUUGGCACAGUCACAGCAUCUGAAACUGAACGACUUCAUUUCUCAAGUAGUUUGUCAAAAUGGGGAAAAUAGAAGCAAGCAGCCACCGCUUCAAAGGCACUGAAACUCAACGUGUCCAGAAUUUAUCCUCACCACCUUUCCGUGGUGCCUGUCGUCUCUCCUUCGGUCCUGAUCGUGGUGGCUGGCAUACACUUGGCUGCUCAAGUCAACACCAGGUGAGCCAUCUCCCCCUCCUCAGUAGAGUCACAAUAGCAUUUACCAUACAAAAUGCUGCACCCCGGGAGUAAAAGGAAGUGUUAAUAGCAAUUACUCCAGUAUGCCAAGGAAUGUUCCAGACAAAGCACGACCUCCAGUGACACUGCCUCUUUCUUUCUCUUACUAUCUCCUCCCCACUAAGUCCUGUAGAUUCCACCUCCUAAAUAUGCUACCCCUAAUUCAGAUUGUCAUCUCUGUUUAGUUUGUGUCGAGGGCCUCCAAACUCAUUGCCUUUCGUGCAGUCUUUCAGUUUUCAGUCUGUUUUCCACCUAACAGAGGGGUCUUUCUAAAACAUAUACUUAGUCGUCUCAUCCCUACUCUUAGAAACUCUUGGUGAUCUUGCUAAAAUUCAUACUCCUCAACUUGGUCCUCAUUUACUUCUUCCACAUCAUUUCUCAUUCCCCUUAUCUCUUUUUGCCUUGGGGGUUAUGCUAUGACCAGGUUGAAGUUCUUGAAGUUCCUUGCAAAUGCUGAGUUCUCUCAUCUUCCAGCCUCCACCUCUGUUCUUCCCAGUGCCUGAAGCCUUUUGCUCACCUUCACAUCUUUCCUAUGGUGAACUCUUCUUUAUCUUUCAGCUCCUCUCUGAUCUGACCCCCAGAGCUCACACCUAGCUUCCACCCAGCAACUGGAAGGGCUCAGCUAAAACAGAAAUCUAACCAGAUAACUUCUCUGAUCAAACAAUUCAGUGGGUUCUGGUCUUCUAAAACAUAAAAUCCAAGCUCCUAAUAGAUCUCAGAAAGCAUGGGUGUCUCUUUUACCUUUGCUCAUGAUGUGUUUAGAAAGCUCAUAUAUAUUUUGGGAGGCUGUAGAGUUUGAAUCUUUGUUCUUAUUAGCUGGGUGAUCUUGGGAAAUUUUCUAACCAAUUUUCAUCUUGCAUUAGCUUCAGUAUAAUGGAGAUGGUCUAUCUAUCUCAGAGAGGUUUUGUGAUGAUGACAUGAAUUAGCAUUUUAAAAGUGCCCAUAAUAAACUCUCACCGAAUUUAGUCA
Molecule: long non-coding RNA, 1313 nt
Filed under: Oryctolagus cuniculus (rabbit)
Lineage: Eukaryota; Metazoa; Chordata; Mammalia; Lagomorpha; Leporidae
Description: lncRNA (ENSOCUG00000035025.1)
Source: RNAcentral